Molecule: transfer RNA, 104 nt
Filed under: Puccinia graminis f. sp. tritici
Lineage: Eukaryota; Fungi; Basidiomycota; Pucciniomycetes; Pucciniales; Pucciniaceae
Rfam family: tRNA
About the family: Transfer RNA (tRNA) molecules are approximately 80 nucleotides in length. Their secondary structure includes four short double-helical elements and three loops (D, anti-codon, and T loops).
Source: Rfam by way of RNAcentral
GCCCGGCUAGCUCAGUUGGUAGAGCAUUCGACUCUUACGUAGGGUUUUCAAUCUCUUUCAGGGUUGCCAUCGAAUUGUCGUGGGUUCGAGCCCCACGUUGGGCG